ACAGGCUACAAAGAGAAACCCUGUCGGCCUGGAGGGAUGGCUCAGCUGUUAAAGGCUAGGCUCACAACCAAAAAUAUA
This 78-nucleotide microRNA precursor is filed under the name Microtus ochrogaster (prairie vole). RNAcentral describes it as "miRNA (ENSMOCG00000010150.1)". The record is from RNAcentral. Lineage: Eukaryota; Metazoa; Chordata; Mammalia; Rodentia; Cricetidae.